Pyrus x bretschneideri (Chinese white pear) is the source of this 566-nucleotide long non-coding RNA. RefSeq lists it as uncharacterized. The transcript is spliced from 2 exons. Lineage: Eukaryota; Viridiplantae; Streptophyta; Magnoliopsida; Rosales; Rosaceae. The record is from RefSeq and is a predicted model, not a curated record.
UGGAGUGAGCUGUGUUCUUGUAGGUCCCAAGACAAUACUACAAAAUUGGCUUAAUGUGUCGGAGAGUGGUCUUGUAGGUCCCAUUCUUCCUCUCUCAUUUUCCCUUUCUUCUUUUCUCCCAUUCUCCUUCAUUUCCCUUUCAUUUCCCCCUUCUUCUUUUCGGCAUCUCUUUCUUCUUUUCAUUUCAUCUUCUUACCAUGCUUUUUUAUCCACUUCAUCCAGUUCCUCCAUCAUUCUCUCCAUGACAAUCGCUGAUCUCAUCUCCCCGUCUUCUCUCUCUAGUACGACAACACAUGAUUUACGUCAAACACCAAAAUUGUCUCACUUUCCUGCUCCCGUUUUCUACUGUGAGUAAGGGAUUUUGCUUAUCUGAGUGAAUAGCACUGAAAGAAGUAGAGGAAAUGAGAAAGGUAGCACUGAUAGAACAAGGGGAAGAAAAGAAGAAAGGGAAAAGAAGAUGGGAAAAAGGAAAAGUCAUCAUUAUGUUUUCUUUAUGUUGUUGUAUAAAUACUUUGUAUAAUGAGAUAUAUUGAUGAAGAACAUUACCAAUGGAAACAUUUAUGUCA